GGGGAGGUAGCUCAGCUGGUUAGAGCAGGGGACUCAUAAUCCCUGGGUCGCGGGUUCGAGCCCCGCCCUCCCUACCA
RNAcentral lists this transfer RNA (77 nucleotides) under Aeromicrobium sp. RNAcentral's name for it is "tRNA-Met". It matches the Rfam family "tRNA". Rfam says of the family: Transfer RNA (tRNA) molecules are approximately 80 nucleotides in length. Their secondary structure includes four short double-helical elements and three loops (D, anti-codon, and T loops). Lineage: Bacteria; Bacillati; Actinomycetota; Actinomycetes; Propionibacteriales; Nocardioidaceae. RNAcentral also lists the same sequence under 1 other name. The record is from RNAcentral.